Molecule: signal recognition particle RNA, 96 nt
Filed under: Alphaproteobacteria bacterium
Lineage: Bacteria; Pseudomonadati; Pseudomonadota; Alphaproteobacteria
Description: signal recognition particle sRNA small type
Rfam family: Bacterial small signal recognition particle RNA
About the family: The signal recognition particle (SRP) is a universally conserved ribonucleoprotein involved in the co-translational targeting of proteins to membranes. Archaeal SRP consists of a 7S RNA and homologues of the eukaryotic SRP19 and SRP54 proteins.
Source: RNAcentral
GGAAGGACGGUGCGGACGGGCCGCUUCGCCAACCCGGUCAGGUCCGGAAGGAAGCAGCCGUAACGAAUGCGGUCCGGGUCGCGCCGGCCUUCCGCC